Molecule: ribosomal RNA, 255 nt
Filed under: uncultured bacterium
Lineage: Bacteria
Description: partial 16S ribosomal RNA
Rfam family: Bacterial small subunit ribosomal RNA
Source: RNAcentral
GACAGAGGGGGCAAGCGUUGCUCGGAAUUACUGGGCGUAAAGGGCGCGUAGGCGGGAUGGCAAGUCGGUCGUGAAAUCCCUCGGCUCAACUGAGGAUCGUCGAUCGAUACUGCCGUUCUUGAGGAUUGCAGAGGAGACUGGAAUUCCCGGUGUAGCGGUGAAAAUGUGUAGGGAUCGGGAGGAACACCGGUGGCGAAGGCGGGUCUCUGGGCAAUUCCUGACGCUGAGGCGCGAAAGCGUGGGGAGCAAACGGGA